ACAAGCUGCAGCAGAGGUGUCAGCAGAAACUCCAAUCAGGUAUUGCCAUGCCUGUGGCACAGGCUGCAGCUGCCAUUCCACCCCUAGCCCUGGGAACUUCCUUAUGCACAGGUGCCCUGGGCAAAAGAAAAAAAAAAGCUCCACCUGGCUACAUUCAGUCAAACCCAGUCUCUCUCUGGUCACAGCUGUGCAGUCACAAAAUCAAUCCUACAAUAGGCCCUGCCCCCACUUAGAGCAAACACACUGGCGCCAUCACACAUCCCACACACAUACAUUUACACACGUACAUCGCAUAAUGCUCCAUCACUUACAGUUGCACAACCAUCCUCCACAGCUCACAUACACACAGGUAUGGGGUGGGCGUUUUUCACCUUGAGCUCCUCCCACAAUCCAGCUUUGGCCACCCCAACUCAUCAAUGGGAGGUGAAAAAACCGAGGGGACCCCGAUUCCAGCCAAGGGUGGUGGUGGUACUGUUUGGGGGUUGGGGGUAACACAGUACAAGCCGGGAAAGCCAGGAUCUGCCGAUUGUGCGAGGAACCGGCCACACAGAGGAUCACCAGCCCGCUCCAGAUUUUGCGGCGCUCUGGCCCGCAGGACCGCGCACGCGCAGCGGGGGUAGCCUGCUGAGGCAGCUCGCUGGAACCCGACCCAGGUCCCCAAAGCCCGGAGGAAGGCGGAAGCCUCAAGCCUGCGUGUGCUUAGACCCCGACUUCAGUUCCAGAGUUUAUGGGGCCCAGGCUGCUCUCACACUUUUAUCUGCGCUGAAUUUACCUGCCUAUAGGAGGCUGCCUUUCACUUCCAGCUGCUGCUCUCAGACGAGCCUGCUAUACUUUCUAAUACCACGUAGGGUGAUCAACCAUCUCAGUUUGCCUGGAAUUAUCCUGGUUUUAGCGCUGCAAAGUCCUACAUCCUGGAAAACUUCAGACUUGGGCAAACCAGGACCUUAGUCAACCUUAUGUCCGAUCCUCUUUUCUGGACUUCUAAGUGGAAGGACGUCUCAGAGCACAAUCUUUGAGCCUCUUCUCCUCUCAGUAUUUCACUCAUUUAUCAAGUGAUUACAUUCAGUCCAAUUGCUUAAUAAACUGUCUGCUGAAGA
Sus scrofa (pig) is the source of this 1097-nucleotide non-coding RNA. The record is from RefSeq and is a predicted model, not a curated record. NCBI's taxonomy places the organism in Eukaryota, Metazoa, Chordata, Mammalia, Artiodactyla, Suidae.